UGCCUAAUACAUGCAAGNUUGAGCGCUGNAAGGUUGGUACUUGNUACCGNACUGGNAUGAGCAGCGAACGGGUGAGUAACGCGUGGGGAAUCUGCCUUUGAGCGGGGGACAACAUUUGGAAACGAAUGCUAAUACCGCAUAAAAACUUUAAACACAAGUUUUAAGUUUGAAAGAUGCAAUUGCAUCACUCAAAGAUGAUCCCGCGUUGUAUUAGCUAGUUGGUGAGGUAAAGGCUCACCAAGGCGAUGAUACAUAGCCGACCUGAGAGGGUGAUCGGCCACUGGGAGGACUGAGAC
This 296-nucleotide ribosomal RNA is filed under the name Lactococcus lactis. Its description in RNAcentral is "partial 16S ribosomal RNA". It matches the Rfam family "Bacterial small subunit ribosomal RNA", at positions 45 to 325 of the family's 1533-position model. The record is from RNAcentral. Lineage: Bacteria; Bacillati; Bacillota; Bacilli; Lactobacillales; Streptococcaceae.